AGCAGCCGCGGUAAUUCCAGCUCCAAUAGCGUAUAUUAAAGUUGUUGCAGUUAAAAAGCUCGUAGUUGAAUUUCGGGAUCAAUAUGUCGGUCGUGCCUUCGGUACGUACUGGUAUCAUUGGUCUCUCCUUUCUGACGAACCAUGAUGUCAUUAAUUUGGUGUUAUGGGGAGUUAGGACUGUUACUUUGAAAAAAUUAGAGUGUUUAAAGCAGGCUUUAGCUUGAAUACAUUAGCAUGGAAUAAUGAAAUAGGACGUUCGAACCUAUUUUGUUGGUUUCUAGGAUCAACGUAAUGAUUAAUAGGGAUAGUUGGGGGCAUUAGUAUUCAAUUGUCAGAGGUGAAAUUCUUGGAUUUAUUGAAGACUAACUACUGCGAAAGCAUUUGCCAAGGAUGUUUUCAUUAAUCAAGAACGAAAGUUAGGGGAUCGAAGACGAUCAGAUACCGUCGUAGUCUUAACCAUAAACUAUGCCGACUAGGGAUCGGAUGAUGUUAAUUUUUUAAUGUACUCAUUCGGCGCCUU
RNAcentral lists this ribosomal RNA (520 nucleotides) under uncultured Glomus. Its description in RNAcentral is "SSU rRNA". It matches the Rfam family "Eukaryotic small subunit ribosomal RNA", at positions 569 to 1089 of the family's 1831-position model. The record is from RNAcentral. Lineage: Eukaryota; Fungi; Glomeromycota; Glomeromycetes; Glomerales; Glomeraceae.